RNAcentral lists this unclassified non-coding RNA (502 nucleotides) under Neocucurbitaria keratinophila. RNAcentral's name for it is "sequence contains ITS1, 5.8S rRNA gene, ITS2". The stretch from base 150 to 303 matches the Rfam family "5.8S ribosomal RNA". Lineage: Eukaryota; Fungi; Ascomycota; Dothideomycetes; Pleosporales; Cucurbitariaceae. The record is from RNAcentral.
CACAUAUCAUCGGGGGAGAACUUCGGUUCUCCUGUCUGAACCCUUGUCUUUUGCGUACUAUUUGUUUCCUUGGUGGGCUUGCCUGCCGAUAGGACAACCAUUAAACCUUUUGUAAUUGCAAUCAGCGUCAGAAAAAACAUAAUAAUUACAACUUUCAACAACGGAUCUCUUGGUUCUGGCAUCGAUGAAGAACGCAGCGAAAUGCGAAAAGUAGUGUGAAUUGCAGAAUUCAGUGAAUCAUCAAAUCUUUGAACGCACAUUGCGCCCCUUGGUAUUCCAUGGGGCAUGCCUGUUCGAGCGUCAUUUGUACCUUCAAGCUCUGCUUGGUGUUGGGUGUUUGUCCCGCUUUUUUGCGUGGACUCGCCUCAAAGCAAUUGGCAGCCGGCGUACUAGCCUGGGAGCGCAGCACAUUUUGCGCAUCUCGACUUGAACGCUUGCAUCCAUCAAGUUACUUUUUAACUCUUGACCUCGGAUCAGGUAGGAUACCCGCUGAACUUAAGCU